Molecule: unclassified non-coding RNA, 3366 nt
Filed under: Megachile rotundata (alfalfa leafcutting bee)
Lineage: Eukaryota; Metazoa; Arthropoda; Insecta; Hymenoptera; Megachilidae
Description: glutamate receptor ionotropic, kainate 2-like, transcript variant X16
Source: RNAcentral
CGCCGGCGACAGUCGCGCGCCGGCCGCUGUCUCGAUAAGGUGUUUGUGUUUGCGUCGUCGCGAUGAAAAUUCGGCCGCCAUAGAGGUUAUGUUUACGCGUGCCGCGAGAAUCAAAGCGAUCACGCAUGCCCUUCUGCGUCCACCUUUUUCGAAAUCGUGCACGAGUCGUCAUCCGUCUAUCGACAAAUCCAGCGAUUUCCGUCGACCUGUUUGUCAGAUCGUAAAUCAACUUGGCGACACUUGACGUCCUCGGGAUAGUACGCUUGGUAAAUGCAGAGUGUCGUGGCAUGCCGACGUGAUUCGCGCGGUGGUGUUCGGUGGUAAAGGGCCAACAAGAGGCCGCAAAGGUGGGCUUUCGAGAUGAGCUAUGAAUUUGGGCUACUUGCUAGCCACUGUCUUUGUGCUUCGGCUGUUUCAACUGUCUUUCGACGUCGCGGCGCUACCCUCGGUCGUCAAGAUCGGUGCCAUAUUCACUCAUGACCAAAAGGAUAGCAGUACAGAGGUAGCCUUCAAGUAUGCCGUGUACAAAAUCAACAAAGACAGGAUCCUGCCGAGAACCACGCUGGAAUACGAUAUACAGUACGUGCCGAAAGAUGACUCGUUUCACGCUUCGAAAAAGGCCUGUCAACAAGUCAAAUACGGAGUUCAAGCGGUAUUCGGUCCGUCUGACCCGAUUCUGGGCCAACACAUUCACAGCAUUUGCGACGCACUGGACAUUCCACAUCUGGAGGCCAGGCUGGACCUGGACACAGAGGCGAAGGAGUUCAGCAUCAAUCUUUAUCCCGCACAAACUUUACUCAAUGCCGCUUAUCAGGACAUCAUGGAGUUCCUUAAUUGGACCAAAGUCGCCAUUAUCUACGAAGACGACUACGGAUUGGUGAAGCUACGAGAACUCGUCAGGUCGCCGAAGUCUCGGGAGAUGGAGGUUAACCUCAGGCAGGCCGACCCGGAUUCCUACAGGCAGGUUCUAUCCGAGAUGAAAAGCAAGGAAAUACGAAAUCUCGUCGUGGAUACCAAACCAGAGCACAUGCAUCAUUUUCUACGGAUGAUCUUGCAGCUGCAAAUGAACGACUACAAGUACCACUAUCUCUUCACGACUUUCGAUAUCGAGACCUUCGAUCUCGAGGACUUCAAGUACAAUUUCGUCAAUAUCACUGCCUUUCGUCUGGUCGACGCCGAGGACGUGGCUGUACGCGGAAUAUUGAGGGACAUGGAACGAUAUCAGCCAUCCGGGAAUACGAUCCUCAACAAAUCGAAAGUUAUACAGGCAGAGCCAGCCUUAAUGUACGACAGCGUGCAAGUGUUUGCGGAGGGAUUAAGAACCCUGGAACAGUCCCACGCGUUAAGACCCGCUAAUAUUUCCUGCGAACUGGAACACCCUUGGGACGGAGGCUUGUCUCUUAUUAACUACAUAAACUCGGUGGUGAUGAAAGGUAUCUCGGGACCCAUCGAGUUUAAGGAAGGUCGCAGGAUACAGUUCAAGCUGGAUCUGCUGAAACUGAAACAGCAUUCGCUCGUUAAGGUCGGCGAGUGGCGUCCUGGCGCCGGCGUCAACGUGACGGACACCGCGGCCUUCUUCGAACCAGGAUCCGCGAACGUCACGCUGCUCGUCAUCACGAUACUGGAAAUUCCAUACGUGAUGAUGCACUAUGAAAAAAACUACACGGGGAACGCGCGGUUUUACGGUUUUUGCGUGGACCUUCUGGAGGCGGUGGCAAGGGAGGUCGGAUUCACUUACCGAUUGGAGCUGGUGCCGGACAGGAAGUACGGUGCAAAAGACCCGGAAACCGGGGAGUGGAAUGGCAUCGUUCGAGAACUCAUGCGACAUAAAGCAGACUUGGCGGUCGGCUCGAUGACUAUUAAUUACGCUCGCGAAAGCGUGAUCGACUUUACUAAGCCGUUCAUGAAUCUUGGUAUUUCCAUCCUUUUCAAGGUACCGACUAGCCAUCCAGCUCGCCUAUUCUCUUUCAUGAACCCGCUAGCCAUCGAGAUUUGGCUGUACGUUCUGGCGGCGUAUGUUCUCGUCUCGGUGACGAUGUUCGUGGUCGCGAGGUUCAGCCCGUACGAGUGGAACAACCCUCAUCCUUGCCACGCGGACUCGGAAGUUGUCGAGAAUCAGUUCUCGUUGGCAAACAGCUUCUGGUUCACGAUCGGAACACUGAUGCAACAAGGCAGCGAUCUGAAUCCCAAGGCAACGAGUACUCGAAUCGUGGGCGGUAUUUGGUGGUUCUUCACCCUGAUAAUCAUCUCGUCGUAUACCGCAAACUUGGCUGCCUUCCUGACCGUGGAACGAAUGAUAACGCCGAUCGAGAACGCGGAAGAUCUUGCCGGCCAAACGGACAUCGCAUACGGGACCCUGGAUAGCGGAAGCACCAUGACCUUUUUCAGGGAUUCCAUGAUCGAGACAUACAAGAAAAUGUGGCGAUUCAUGGAGAAUAAAAAACCAUCGGUGUUCGUGCCCACCUACGAGGAAGGAAUUCAAAGGGUUCUUCAAGGCGACUACGCUUUCCUCAUGGAAUCCACCAUGCUGGAUUAUAUCGUGCAAAGGGAUUGCAAUCUCACUCAGAUCGGUGGACUUUUGGACAGCAAGGGAUACGGAAUCGCCACGCCAAUGGGUACGCGGCGAUAUUCUCUUUAUCGAAUAAUUUCGUUUUCCGUUGCUUCGCGAUUAACGCGUUAUAUUGUAUUCGUAGGUUCUCCUUGGCGCGACAAGAUAUCUCUGGCAAUUUUGGAGCUGCAGGAAAAGGGCGAGAUUCAAAUGCUGUAUGAUAAAUGGUGGAAGAGUCCUGGUGACACCUGCAUGAGAACCGAGAAAGGGAAAGAAAGCAAGGCGAAUUCUUUGGGAGUGGAUAACAUAGGUGGAGUGUUCGUCGUGCUGUUGUGCGGUUUAGCUUUCGCCGUGCUGAUCGCGAUAUUCGAGUUUUGCUACAAUUCGAGGAGAAAUACGCCGGCGGAACGGGUGAGUAGAUGGUACAGGGUACGCGCGACGUUGAAAAGCUCCGAAAUUCGUCGGAAAACGCGACGGAGAAUCGGCGAAUACCGUGUCCUCGAUCGCGCGAUCUUGUCCGCUCGGUCACCCUGCCGAUCCUCGCUUAUUCCCAUACGAUUUCCGUACGAUUUAACCGACUGACCGUCGUCAAAGAAACGAGCUUUUUUUCCAGGCAAUCGAACACAGCCACGCAUGACCUUUUUAAACAGGGUUGCAUGAAUUUUUCUCACUUUUUUGUGUUCCAUUUCGACCGACCGUCGUGGUAUUUUUGCGACGCAGCAUGAGCUCAUCCUCCACUGAAGCAUGCCGGCCGACUACGAACGCACCAAGCUCGCUCGUCAACCAAGAGAGCUCCCGCAUCGACGCCGGUCUGCUCG